UACGGAGGGUGCGAGCGUUGUCCGGAAUCACUGGGCGUAAAGGGCGCGUAGGCGGCCCGGCAAGUCAGUGGUGAAAGCCCGAGGCUCAACUUCGGGUCGGCCACUGAUACUGCUAGGCUUGAGUCGACUAGAGGCAGAUGGAAUUCCGGGUGUAGCGGUGGAAUGCGUAGAGAUCCGGAAGAACACCGGUGGCGAAGGCGGUCUGCUGGGGUCGAACUGACGCUGAGGCGCGACAGCGUGGGGAGCAAACAGG
RNAcentral lists this ribosomal RNA (253 nucleotides) under uncultured bacterium. RNAcentral describes it as "partial 16S ribosomal RNA". It matches the Rfam family "Bacterial small subunit ribosomal RNA", at positions 524 to 776 of the family's 1533-position model. The record is from RNAcentral.